RNAcentral lists this small nucleolar RNA (259 nucleotides) under Marmota marmota marmota (Alpine marmot). RNAcentral's name for it is "Small Cajal body specific RNA 6 (ENSMMMG00000021997.1)". It matches the Rfam family "Small Cajal body specific RNA 6". Rfam says of the family: U88 is small Cajal body specific RNA (scaRNA). scaRNAs are a novel class of small nuclear RNAs which localise to the Cajal bodies. The record is from Rfam by way of RNAcentral. Lineage: Eukaryota; Metazoa; Chordata; Mammalia; Rodentia; Sciuridae.
GCCCUGUACUUUUAAAAUUUUAUCUUUAAAUAUUUUGUUCAGUUUUCCCCCAGCUGCCUCAAUCCCAUCAGGCUUCAGUGGUACUGAGAUGGGCCAGAGAGCAGCUGACAUGCAGGGAUAGCUUGAGUCUGUGUUCCUGGGUGAGCCAAGAAGGGGAGCCAAGGUGGUUGCAUGCAACGGCUUAGCCAUGAACAGCAUGGACUGAUGGUUGGAAGAGCAGGUAUCUGUGGCUGUGAUCUGACAUUUUCAAGCUGAGACC